GAUGAAGAACGUAGCGAAAUGCGAUAAGUAAUGUGAAUUGCAGAAUUCAGUGAAUCAUCGAGUCUUUGAACGCACAUUGCGCCCGCCAGUAUUCUGGCGGGCAUGCCUGUUCGAGCGUCAUUUCAACCAUCAAGCCCCCGGCUUGUGUUGGGGACCUGCGGCUGCCGCAGGCCCUGAAAAGCAGUGGCGGGCUCGCUGUCACACCGAGCGUAGUAGCAUACAUCUCGCUCUGGGCGUGCUGCGGGUUCCGGCCGUUAAACCACCUUCAUAACCCAAGGUUGACCUCGGAUCAGGUAGGAAGACCCGCUGAACUUAAGCAUAUCAAUAAGCGGAGGA
This 336-nucleotide unclassified non-coding RNA is filed under the name soil metagenome. RNAcentral's name for it is "partial contains 5.8S ribosomal RNA, internal transcribed spacer 2, and large subunit ribosomal RNA". The stretch from base 1 to 120 matches the Rfam family "5.8S ribosomal RNA", at positions 35 to 154 of the family's 154-position model. The record is from RNAcentral.